Molecule: ribosomal RNA, 403 nt
Filed under: uncultured bacterium
Lineage: Bacteria
Description: partial 16S ribosomal RNA
Rfam family: Bacterial small subunit ribosomal RNA
Source: RNAcentral
GACGAACGCUGGCGGCGUGCCUAAUACAUGCAAGUCGAACGCAGGGGGGACGGGUGAGUAACACGUGGGUAACCUCCCAUCAGAGGGGAGAACACUUGGAAACUGGUGCUAAACCGAUAUUGGUGUAUGUACCCGCGGUGCAUUAGCUAGUUGGUGAGGUAACGGCUCACCAAGGCCACGAUGCAUAGCUGACCUGAGAGGGUGAUCGGCCACACUGGGACUGAGAAACGGCCCAGACUCCUACGGGAGGCAGCAGUAGGGAAUCUUCGGCAAUGGACGAAAGUCUGACCGAGCAACGCCGCGUGAGUGAAGAAGGUUUUCGGGUUGUAAAACUCUGUUGUCAGAGAAGCGGUAUCUAACCAGAAAGCCACGGCUAACUACGUGCCAGCAGCCGCGGUAAUAC